This 1018-nucleotide ribosomal RNA is filed under the name Rhizoplaca shushanii. RNAcentral's name for it is "eukaryotic LSU rRNA". It matches the Rfam family "Eukaryotic large subunit ribosomal RNA", at positions 161 to 1127 of the family's 3401-position model. Lineage: Eukaryota; Fungi; Ascomycota; Lecanoromycetes; Lecanorales; Lecanoraceae. The record is from RNAcentral.
GUUUCGGGUGCGGCGCCGGUCUAAGUCCCUUGGAACAGGGCGUCAUAGAGGGUGAGAAUCCCGUAUGUGACCGGUGACCAACCCCAUGUGAAACUCCUUCGACGAGUCGAGUUGUUUGGGAAUGCAGCUCAAAAUGGGUGGUAAAUUUCAUCUAAAGCUAAAUACUGGCCAGAGACCGAUAGCGCACAAGUAGAGUGAUCGAAAGAUGAAAAGCACUUUGGAAAGAGAGUCAAAAAGUACGUGAAAUUGUUGAAAGGGAAGCGCUUGCAACCAGACCUGUCCGUAGGCGAUCAACCUCUGUUCUCAGGGGUGCACUCGUCUGCGAUCAGGCCAGCAUCGGUUCGGGCGGCUGGAUAAAGGCCUUGGGAAUGUGGCUCCUCUCGGGGAGUGUUAUAGCCCUUGGUGCAAUGCGGCCAGCCCGGACCGAGGACCGCGCUUCGGCUAGGAUGCUGGCGUAAUGGUUGUAAGCGACCCGUCUUGAAACACGGACCAAGGAGUAUAAUAUUUAUGCAAGUGUUUGGGUGUUAAACCCAUGCGCGCAAUGAAAGUGAACGGAGGUGAGAACCCUGAAGGGCGCAUCAUCGACCGAUCCAGAUGUCUUCGGAUGGAUUUGAGUAUGAGCAUAAAUGUUGUGACCCGAAAGAUGGUGAACUAUGCCUGAAUAGGGUGAAGCCAGAGGAAACUCUGGUGGAGGCUCGCAGCGGUUCUGACGUGCAAAUCGAUCGUCAAAUUUUGGCAUAGGGGCGAAAGACUAAUCGAACCAUCCGUUGCUUUUCGCUUGCUAGGUGGUUCAUAAGCGUUAGGCGGCUGCUCUCAGUCGCCUACGCCGAGUCCUUCGGGGCAACAUCGCUACUUGCAUGAAUCCCUCGGGGGUGAUAUGCUGCAGGUGGUCUUCACCGAGACCCCUGUUCACAGACCAAAUGGCGGUGGCCGCGGUGUGUCUUCCUAGACCCCCGGUUUAGAAAUGGCCGAGUUCCGCUCCGAUGGAGAGCGAGCCUCGGGAUGUAGGGCCGACAGC